This 29-nucleotide small RNA is filed under the name Bombyx mori (domestic silkworm). RNAcentral describes it as "ovarian small RNA-24930". The record is from RNAcentral. Lineage: Eukaryota; Metazoa; Arthropoda; Insecta; Lepidoptera; Bombycidae.
UCAAUUGGUACGCCCUCUUUGAACAUGGU